Molecule: unclassified non-coding RNA, 1002 nt
Filed under: Hevea brasiliensis (rubber tree)
Lineage: Eukaryota; Viridiplantae; Streptophyta; Magnoliopsida; Malpighiales; Euphorbiaceae
Source: RNAcentral
CAACCAUUUUACUGGGAAAUAUCACAUAAUGUAAUAGUAUAAAAUUUCCUUCUGAAUCUGUUCCUACUCUCAAGAAACAAAAUAAGUAAAAUACACUAACUCAUUUAGUUAAAAACAAUUUAAGCCACAAGCAAGUUCAUAAAACAGAUUAUGAAAAUCUUUUAACAUAUUUAAGCACCAACUACUUCAGUUGGCUCAGUUGCAAUGUCCUCAGCGGGUCUAUCCACCUUCACACCGACAUCUUCUGAGUAAUCACCGUGAACCUCCAUCAACCUCCCAAGGUCAAAUUUAGGAGCCUUCAAGAUCUUGACCUUGCGAAUGAAUACAUUCUGCAAAGGGUAGAUGCUUGAAGUUGCCUUCUCAAUCUCUCUACCGAUUGAUUCAGGAAUGAACUUCAGGACCAAGUCUUUCAAAUCACACGAUUGUGCCUGGUUAACCAUGAUCUCACGCAUCUUGCGACGAAUCUGGCGAAUCUGGCUUGACUGCGCGUAGCAGGUUCUUUUUUGUUGGUUUGGACGCUUUUUGGUAAAGCCAAUGCAGAACAUUCUCAAGGUGUAGCUAUCAGUUGUCUUAACGUCAACAUGAGCCUCAAUCAAUGAUUGCCAUUUCUUUACCAGUGACCUCAAUUUAUCUGUGGUGAAAUCCAUACCGUGAAAGUUUGUCAAGACAUUUCUUCCUUGGACGUCUUCAGCUCUCAGACGAAUCUUCCUGAAGGAGUGAUCUUCGUCAUUCUGAAGAUCAGCCAAUGACACUUCGAACACACGAUGCUUCAGGCCUUCUGAAGCAAUCUUUGUACCCUGUGUACGGGUAACAAGGGUCUUCCCUACAUUGCGGACACCAAAUACUGAUGGAGCCUUGAUAUCAUACCAAUCCUUUUUAGCAUAUGGAUCAGCUGCCUUCUUCUUCCCUCCUUUUUUGCCUUUGGAAAUUCGCUUGUUCUUACCGACGGCCAUGGUCGAGCUUCUGAGCUAUGGUAAGAGAGAGAAACACAGAACUAUAGUG